GAUCAAGCUUUAAAGGGCACAUAGUGGAUGCCUUGGUGCUAGAAGGCGAUGAAGGACGUGAUAAGCUGCGAUAAGCAACGGUGAGCUGCAAACAAGCUCUGACCCGUUGAUUUCCGAAUGGGGUAACCUGAUACCAUUAAUAUGGUAUCGUUUCUUCCUGAAUAAAAUAGGGAAGGAUACGCAAAACCCGGUGAAGUGAAACAUCUCAGUAACCGGAGGAAAAGAAAGAGAAAUCGAUUCCGUGAGUAGUGGCGAGCGAAAACGGAAGAGCCCAAACCGGAGGAUUUAUUCUCCGGGGUUGUAGGACCCCGCUGUGGGACUUGAGAAGAUAGGUGAAUGCUUUGGAAAGAGCAGACAUAGAGCGUGACAUCCGCGUAACCGAAAUCUUCGAUGGCCCUAGGGUGUUCCUGAGUAGCACGGGACACGUGAAACCCCGUGUGAAUCUGCGCAGACCACUGCGUAAGGCUAAAUACUAACUAGCGACCGAUAGUGAACCAGUACCGUGAGGGAAAGGUGAAAAGUACCCCUGUGAGGGGAGUGAAAUAGAACCUGAAACCAUGUGCCUACAAGGUGUAAGAGCAAGGACUUGUCCUUGUGAUUGCGUGCCUUUUGCUUAAUGAGUCUACGAGUUAGUGUCUGUGGCAAGCUUAAGUCCUUCUGGGACGCAGGCGUAGCGAAAGCGAGUCCGAAUAGGGCGACCACAAGUUGCAGGCGCUAGACCCGAAGCGGAGGCGACCUACCCAUGGCCAGGUUGAAGCAGCGGUAAAACGCUGUGGAGGACCGAACCGAUGUGUGUUGAAAAACGCUCGGAUGAGCUGUGGGUCGGAGUGAAAGGCUAUUCAAGCCCCGUGAUAGCUGGUUCUCCUCGAAAUGCAUUUAGGUGCAGCGUUGCGUGUUGAUGAGUGGGGGUAGAGCACUGAAAGGGCUAGGGGGCAUACCCGCCUACCAACCCCUAUCAAACUCCGAAUACCAUUCAAUAGAGCGCAGCAGUGAGACAGUGGGGGAUAAGCUUCAUUGUCGAAAGGGAAACAGCCCAGAUCAGCAGCUAAGGUGCCAAAAUCAUGCUAAGUGGAAAGGAGGUGGGGUUUCUUAGACAGUGAGGAUGUUGGCUUAGAAGCAGCCACCAUUUAAAAAAUGCGUAAUAGCUUACUCAUCGAGAGACCCUGCGCCGAAAAUGAUUGGCGAUAAGCAUGAUACCGAAGCUCUGGAUGUCAUGUUCCUGCGGGAACAUGGCGUGGUAGAGGAGCAUUGUCAGCUGGAUAGAAGCGGAAGGGCGACCGACCGUGGACUGCUGACAAGAGAGUAUGUAGACAUUAGUAACGAUAAGCCGGGUGAAAUCCCCGGCCGCCGUAAACCCAAGGUUUCCCGGGCAACGUUUUUCGUCCCGGGGUUAGUCGGGACCUAACCCGAGGCCGAUAGGCGUAGGGGAUGGUAAGCUGAUUAAUAUUUCAGCACCUGCAAAGUGAAGGGGACGCUUUCUGGAUUGCAACCAGGUUAUUGAAUUCCGAGCGGAGGCCUUGUGCCGAAGCGUAUUGCAUGAAAGAGGGCCAAGAAAAGCCGACACGACUAAAAGCAGCCCGUACCGUAAACCGACACAGGUGGGUGGGUAGAGUAUACCAAGGCGCAAGAGUGAAACCUGGUCAAGGAACUCGGCAAAAUAGCUCCGUAACUUCGGGAUAAGGAGUGCCCCCUUCGGGGGGCCGCAGUGAAAUGGGUCAACCGACUGUUUAGCAAAAACACAGCAUUGUGCAAAGACGCAAGUCGAAGUAUACGAUGUGACACGUGACCAAUGCCAAAAGAUUACGAUGAGAUGUUAGCCUUUAUUGGCAAAGCUUCGAGUCCAAGUCCUGGUGAAUGUCGGCCGUAACUAUAACGGUCCUAAGGUAGCGAAAUUCCUUGUCGGGUAAGUUCCGACCUGCACGAAUCGUGCAACGAGUUGACCACUGUCUCGACCAGGAGCUCAGUGAAAUUGUAGUGCCGGUGAAGAUGCCGGCUACCCGCAGAAGGACGGAAAGACCCUAUAGACCUUAACUGUAAGCUGUUACUGUUUAUUCGAUUUUAAUGCUCAGCAUAAGUGGGAGACUUUGAAACCAAUCUUUAGGGGUUGGUGGAGUCGCCAGUGAGAUACCACCCUUUGACAUUGGAUAAUCUAACCCCGAGCCGUCAUCCGGCCGGGGAACCGUGGCAGCCGGUCAGUUUUACUGGGGCGGUAUCCUCCUAAAGAGUAACGGAGGAGCGCGAAGGUUGGUUCAGCACGGUUUGCAACCGUGUGUCGAGUGUAAUGGCACAAACCAGCCUAACUGUGAGACCCACAAGUCGAGCAGAUACGAAAGUAGGCCAUAGUGAUCCGGCGGUAGAAAGUGGAAUUGCCGUCGCUCAACGGAUAAAAGGUACCUUAGGGAUAACAGGCUGAUCGCGCCCAAGAGUUCAUAUCGACGGCGCGGUUUGGCACCUCGAUGUCGGCUCGUCGCAUCCUGGGGCUGGAGCAGGUCCCAAGGGUUGGGCUGUUCGCCCAUUAAAGCGGCACGCGAGCUGGGUUCAGAACGUCGCGAGACAGUUCGGUCCUCUAUCCUCUGUGGGCGCAGGAAAAUUGAGAGGUUCAAACCCUAGUACGAGAGGACCGGGUUUGACGUACCUCUGGUGUUCCGGUUGUUCUGUCAAGAGCAUUGCCGGGUAGCUAAGUACGGUCCUGAUAAGCGCUGAAAGCAUCUAAGCGCCAAGCAGUUCUCAAGAUUAAUUUUCCCUGAAAGACCGUGGAAGACCACCACGUUGAUAGGCUGGGGGUGGAAGUGCAGUAAUGUAUGCAGCUCACCAGUACUAAUCGUCUGUCUGGCUUGAUUUC
This 2842-nucleotide ribosomal RNA is filed under the name Oceaniferula flava. RNAcentral's name for it is "23S ribosomal RNA". It matches the Rfam family "Bacterial large subunit ribosomal RNA". The record is from RNAcentral. Lineage: Bacteria; Pseudomonadati; Verrucomicrobiota; Verrucomicrobiia; Verrucomicrobiales; Verrucomicrobiaceae.